UACGAAGGGGGCUAGCGUUGCUCGGAAUUACUGGGCGUAAAGGGCGCGUAGGCGGACAUUUAAGUUAGAGGUGAAAGCCCAGGGCUCAACCCUGGAAUAGCCUUUAAUACUGGAUGUCUUGAGUUCGGGAGAGGUGAGUGGAAUGCCGAGUGUAGAGGUGAAAUUCGUAGAUAUUCGGCGGAACACCAGUGGCGAAGGCGACUCACUGGCCCGAUACUGACGCUGAGGCACGAAAGCGUGGGGAGCAAACAGG
Molecule: ribosomal RNA, 253 nt
Filed under: uncultured bacterium
Lineage: Bacteria
Description: partial 16S ribosomal RNA
Rfam family: Bacterial small subunit ribosomal RNA
Source: RNAcentral